RNAcentral lists this long non-coding RNA (854 nucleotides) under Pan troglodytes (chimpanzee). Its description in RNAcentral is "lncRNA (ENSPTRG00000053156.1)". Lineage: Eukaryota; Metazoa; Chordata; Mammalia; Primates; Hominidae. The record is from RNAcentral.
UUUUCUAGGUCCUGUGAUCUUAUUACAACCUACUGAGUGACAACUAAGUGAGGACUCAUUAGCUGGCUCUAAUCCAACUGAUAUGUGCCUCCUAGCAGACAGCAUCUUCAGCUUAACUUUGGGUGUUCUGCAGGGAGGAUAAAGAGAAGCCUCAGGGAAAUACACUCCUUAGGUAUGACAGCCUGGUUCUGAAGAUUGCUGCAGUCUGGAGUCUAGUAUUUGCGAACCCAAGAGAGCCAAGAAAGGGUCCUUUACUUAAAGCUGCAAGAAGAAGGAAAAUAAAAACCCCAAAGUUAAGUAUCACCAUCCAGCUGGCACAUGUGCUCAGGCCACAACUGGCUUUGGCAAGUCCCCAUCCUCGAGGCCUCCAGUGGCUCUGAAAUUCUCACCACAAGAAAAUCAUGGGUUUUAAGACACAAGAAUUAAAGAACACAUUGAUGUAAUUUUGGUGCAUGAGCAUUUAGAGAAAUGUGUGUUUGUCUUUGAAGGUUGGCUAACUUUGGAAAUUCUUCAGACCUGUAAUGGGGCUAUUUGCCCGGGAGUUGGUUCUACUGUUCCUGAAGAGACGGCAAUAUUAACCAUCCCCAAAGUGCAGCAUUGAGCCUUUCCCCUUCCCACUACCCCAUACUCAGGAGGAGCAAUCUAUGCCCAAAUUUCUUUUUAAAAUUAGAAGUAUCUCUCUGUAUAUAAACUGAUCGCCUAGAGUCUUAAUCAGAAAGUAAAACUAGUUCUUAAAUUUUCUUGGAGGAAUUUUGCUCAAGUGAUUGUAUUAUUUCUGCUUGAAUAACUCCUUACAAAGGAAAUUCUUAAGCUAUUUUUCCAGAUAAUAGAGUCAAAAUUAGUUUCUUUCUAAU